This 292-nucleotide ribosomal RNA is filed under the name uncultured bacterium. RNAcentral describes it as "partial 16S ribosomal RNA". The record is from RNAcentral. RNAcentral also lists the same sequence under 2 other names.
GGACUACUAGGGUUUCUAAUCCCGUUCGCUCCCCUGGCUUUCGCGCCUCAGCGUCAGAAGAGAUCCAGUACGUCGCUUUCGCCACCGGCGUUCCUUCCGAUAUCAACGCAUUUCACCGCUCCACCGGAAGUUCCACAUACCCCUAUCUCCCUCGAGACUACCAGUAUCCAAGGCACUUUUCCGGUUAAGCCGAAAGAUUUCACCCCGGACUUGGUAGCCCGCCUACGCGCCCUUUAAGCCCAGUGAUUCCGAACAACGUUCGCACGGUUCGUCUUACCGCGGCUGCUGGCAC